This 930-nucleotide ribosomal RNA is filed under the name Escherichia coli. RNAcentral describes it as "partial 23S ribosomal RNA". It matches the Rfam family "Bacterial large subunit ribosomal RNA", at positions 2013 to 2925 of the family's 2925-position model. Lineage: Bacteria; Pseudomonadati; Pseudomonadota; Gammaproteobacteria; Enterobacterales; Enterobacteriaceae. The record is from RNAcentral.
AGGCUGUCUCCACCCGAGACUCAGUGAAAUUGAACUCGCUGUGAAGAUGCAGUGUACCCGCGGCAAGACGGAAAGACCCCGUGAACCUUUACUAUAGCUUGACACUGAACAUUGAGCCUUGAUGUGUAGGAUAGGUGGGAGGCUUUGAAGUGUGGACGCCAGUCUGCAUGGAGCCGACCUUGAAAUACCACCCUUUAAUGUUUGAUGUUCUAACGUGGGCCCCUUACCGGGGUUGCGGACAGUGUCUGGUGGGUAGUUUGACUGGGGCGGUCUCCUCCUAAAGAGUAACGGAGGAGCACGAAGGUUGGCUAAUCCUGGUCGGACAUCAGGAGGUUAGUGCAAUGGCAUAAGCCAGCUUGACUGCGAGCGUGACGGCGCGAGCAGGUGCGAAAGCAGGUCAUAGUGAUCCGGUGGUUCUGAAUGGAAGGGCCAUCGCUCAACGGAUAAAAGGUACUCCGGGGAUAACAGGCUGAUACCGCCCAAGAGUUCAUAUCGACGGCGGUGUUUGGCACCUCGAUGUCGGCUCAUCACAUCCUGGGGCUGAAGUAGGUCCCAAGGGUAUGGCUGUUCGCCAUUUAAAGUGGUACGCGAGCUGGGUUUAGAACGUCGUGAGACAGUUCGGUCCCUAUCUGCCGUGGGCGCUGGAGAACUGAGGGGGGCUGCUCCUAGUACGAGAGGACCGGAGUGGACGCAUCACUGGUGUUCGGGUUGUCAUGCCAAUGGCACUGCCCGGUAGCUAAAUGCGGAAGAGAUAAGUGCUGAAAGCAUCUAAGCACGAAACUUGCCCCGAGAUGAGUUCUCCCUGAGACUUAGAGUCUCCUGAAGGAACGUUGAAGACGACGACGUUGAUAGGCCGGGUGUGUAAGCGCAGCGAUGCGUUGAGCUAACCGGUACUAAUGAACCGUGAGGCUUAACCUUACAACGCCGAAG